CGACAUUUUUUCGAAAGAGGUUAGGUCAUGAAAAUUGAGACAGGACCACGCAUGCACCUAACCGCAACCAGCCUUUUGGUUCACGCCUAAUGAACCAUUUCCUCGAAAGAUCCGGAUUCUGAUGAUAUUCAUGAUAAUUCAUGCCAGUGUAUAGCACUUUCGAGUUUGGCCACAAGUUUUUGGCAAUCACAUAUAUGACCCCACGGCCAUGACUG
RNAcentral lists this long non-coding RNA (215 nucleotides) under Prunus dulcis (almond). RNAcentral's name for it is "sRNA ncRNA". The record is from RNAcentral. Lineage: Eukaryota; Viridiplantae; Streptophyta; Magnoliopsida; Rosales; Rosaceae.